GGGCGAUUAGCUCAGUUGGGAGAACACCUGCCUUACAAUCUGGGGUCACUGGUUCGAACCCAGUAUCGCCCACCA
RNAcentral lists this transfer RNA (75 nucleotides) under Vibrio cholerae. RNAcentral describes it as "tRNA-Val". It matches the Rfam family "tRNA". From Rfam's summary of the family: Transfer RNA (tRNA) molecules are approximately 80 nucleotides in length. Their secondary structure includes four short double-helical elements and three loops (D, anti-codon, and T loops). Further hydrogen bonds mediate the characteristic L-shaped molecular structure. tRNAs have two regions of fundamental functional importance: the anti-codon, which is responsible for specific mRNA codon recognition, and the 3' end, to which the tRNAs corresponding amino acid is attached (by aminoacyl-tRNA synthetases). tRNAs cope with the degeneracy of the genetic code in two manners: having more than one tRNA (with a specific anti-codon) for a particular amino acid; and 'wobble' base-pairing, i.e. permitting non-standard base-pairing at the 3rd anti-codon position. Lineage: Bacteria; Pseudomonadati; Pseudomonadota; Gammaproteobacteria; Vibrionales; Vibrionaceae. The record is from RNAcentral.